UCCCUGGUGGUCUAGUAGUUAAGACUUCACCUUCUAAGAGCUGGGGGUACAGGUUCAAUCCUUGUUUGGGGAA
RNAcentral lists this transfer RNA (73 nucleotides) under Bos taurus (domestic cattle). It matches the Rfam family "tRNA". From Rfam's summary of the family: Transfer RNA (tRNA) molecules are approximately 80 nucleotides in length. Their secondary structure includes four short double-helical elements and three loops (D, anti-codon, and T loops). Further hydrogen bonds mediate the characteristic L-shaped molecular structure. tRNAs have two regions of fundamental functional importance: the anti-codon, which is responsible for specific mRNA codon recognition, and the 3' end, to which the tRNAs corresponding amino acid is attached (by aminoacyl-tRNA synthetases). tRNAs cope with the degeneracy of the genetic code in two manners: having more than one tRNA (with a specific anti-codon) for a particular amino acid; and 'wobble' base-pairing, i.e. permitting non-standard base-pairing at the 3rd anti-codon position. The record is from Rfam by way of RNAcentral. Lineage: Eukaryota; Metazoa; Chordata; Mammalia; Artiodactyla; Bovidae. RNAcentral also lists the same sequence under 2 other names.